RNAcentral lists this long non-coding RNA (1753 nucleotides) under Homo sapiens (human). Its description in RNAcentral is "non-protein coding lnc-LRP5-1:7". The stretch from base 668 to 815 matches the Rfam family "Metazoan signal recognition particle RNA". Lineage: Eukaryota; Metazoa; Chordata; Mammalia; Primates; Hominidae. The record is from RNAcentral.
GGGCCACUUCUUGCGCGCUGCCAGAAGGAGCUAUUUUGAGCAGGUCUGUGGCGGAAGUGGGUGUUCCCGGGUCUCUGCUGCCCAGCUGUGCCCGCUGCCGUCUUGGGGUCCCGGGGUGCGCGGGUUGGGCUGGGUGAGCUCAGAGGCACCUUGUCGGCAGCCGAGCCUGAAGAGGCGACCUCGAAACGCCUCGUGAGACCUUUCGCGGGCACACGCCCUUCGCGUUCCUCCGCUUCCUCCCACGUUUCUUCAGCCCCUGGCGGGGCGCUGGGGUGCCCGGUAGUUAAGGGUGGGGUGGCAGCGAGCGUUUCUGUGCACCCGCAGCGUGCCACGCCCGUGCUAAGCACUUUGCCUAUAGAGCCAGUGGCUUAAUUCUGCAAUAGCACAGUGAAGAACUUCGCCUCAUUUUACAGACGUGGAAACAGGCUCAUCAAGUGCUCUGUAAUUGUAAAACCUGGGAUAACAAAGGAGCAAAACGCAAUUUAGAGGCAAGUGUGUGGGACUUGACUUUGGUUAGAAAUAGGCUUUGCAGGCCAGGCGCGGUGGCUCUUGCCUGUAAUCCUAGCACUUUGGGAGGCCGAGACGGGCGGAUUAUCUGAGCUCAGGAGUUCGAGACCAGCCUGGGCAACAUGGUGAAACCCUGUGUCUACUAAAAUACAAAAAAUUAGCCGGGCGUGGUGGCGUGCGCCUGUAGUCCCAGCUACUCGGGAGGCUGAGGCAGGAGAAUUGCUUGAACCUGGGAGGUGGAGGUUGAAGUGAGCAGAGAUCGUGCCACUGCACUCCAGCCUGGGCGACAGAGCGAGACUCUGUCUCCAAAAAAAAAAAAGAAAGAAAGAAAUAGGCUUUGCAAGUUAGUAGUUCUGUGACUGAAUCCCAGUCUGUAUAAGACCCUCAGGCAUCCCCCGGUCCAAACCAAAACCUGUCUGCGAAGGAUGAUUUCACAGGAGCAAACCAAGACUUUAUUUCCAGUUUUAUAACCUGCCUUGGGGUCUUCGGCUAGGAAGCUAAGAGACACAGAAAGCUGAGAUUGGGCAAAGACAGGAUCUACCAUCCACUCCGAGCUCUGGGAGCACCUGAAAUGCGAUUUGAUGUCACCACCACCAUCCCCAGUUCAACCACAGUUCAUGUGUGGAAUUUAACCUGCAAAGUUGGGUUUGCUGAGACCCAACGCCGGUUGGAUCAUGUGAAGAUCAGAUCCUUUCACUAUGUAUUUGCUUUAAUUUUUCCAACUAGUUCGGAUCUAACAUGAAGUACAGUAUUGAGGCUCACUCCAGAAGUGAAAAUAUACAAUCGGCAGGCAGAUUUUAGUUCUUUGCCUGCCCUUUUCAAAAAUCAAUGACUGGGCUGGGCGCGGUGGCUCACGCCUGUAAUCCCAACAUUUUGGGAGGCCAAGGCGGGCGGAUCACCUGAGGUCAGGAGUUUGAGACCAGCCUGACCGAUAUGGUGAAACCCGUCUCUACUAAAAAUAUAAAAAUUAGCCAGGCGUGGUGGCGUGUGCCUGUAUUCCCAGCUACUCGGGAGUCUGAGACAGGAAAAUUGCUUGAACUUGGGAGGGGGAGGCUUCAGUGAGCCGAGAUCUCACCACUGCACUCCAGCCUGGGCGACAGAGCGAGACUCCUUCUAAAAAAAAAAAAAAAAAAAAAAAAAAAAAUCAAUGACUGUGACUCUGUUUUCAUUUCCUCUUUGGCAACAUAGGGACAAUUUUUACUGCUGGGGCUGAAAUUACAAACAUAAGACACAGCCUCUCCUCUAG